This 486-nucleotide ribosomal RNA is filed under the name uncultured cyanobacterium. RNAcentral describes it as "bacterial SSU rRNA". It matches the Rfam family "Bacterial small subunit ribosomal RNA", at positions 1047 to 1533 of the family's 1533-position model. The record is from RNAcentral. Lineage: Bacteria; Bacillati; Cyanobacteriota.
GGCUGUCGUCAGCUCGUGUCGUGAGAUGUUGGGUUAAGUCCCGCAACGAGCGCAACCCACGUCUUUAGUUGCCAGCAUUUAGUUGGGCACUCUAGAGAGACCGCCGGUGAUAAACCGGAGGAAGGUGUGGAUGACGUCAAGUCAUCAUGCCCCUUACAUCCUGGGCUACACACGUACUACAAUGCUACGGACAAAGGGCAGCAAACUCGCGAGAGCUAGCAAAUCCCAUAAACCGUGGCUCAGUUCAGAUCGUAGGCUGCAACUCGCCUACGUGAAGGAGGAAUCGCUAGUAAUCGCAGGUCAGCAUACUGCGGUGAAUACGUUCCCGGGCCUUGUACACACCGCCCGUCACACCAUGGAAGUUGGCCACGCCCGAAGUCGUUACUCCAACCCUUGUGGAGGAGGAUGCCGAAGGUGGGGCUGAUGACUGGGGUGAAGUCGUAACAAGGUAGCCGUACCGGAAGGUGCGGCUGGAUCACCUCCUAA